UGAAUAGAACGGAGUGCUGUAAGCAGUAGAGUAGCCUUGUUGCUACGAUCUGCUGAGGCUCAGCUUUUGUUCUACAGAUUUGUCCUUUUGGACUCUCUAUGGUUAGCAUGGACUGGGGGGCAACUCCAGCAUCCUGAUCAUAGACAGUUAUAAGGUGACAAGUUGUGUAGUGAGAGUAAGUAAGUGAGAAUCAUUUGAACGAGAAUGGAGGCAUGGGGAUCAAAAACGGUUACAGAGUUGGACUUUGUGUGUUUCUGCAAGUUCCAAGGAUGGACUGGGGGAGACAAGGGGUCUCUAGCAGGGCGGUUCAGGACUUGGACAAGGCAGACUGGCAGCUGGCAGGCUUGGGUAGGUACUGGUAGAGCGUACUUGGUGACAAAGACCAAGUAUGACUUACUGGUGCACUCAAGUUUGCCAGCUUUUCUGUUUGACCGUCCAGGGUGGACCAGCUUAUAAGUGCUCUUCAAACAUACUAUCAUCUACGGCCAUAGG
This 492-nucleotide unclassified non-coding RNA is filed under the name Trichosporon sp. Lineage: Eukaryota; Fungi; Basidiomycota; Tremellomycetes; Trichosporonales; Trichosporonaceae. The record is from RNAcentral.